Molecule: ribosomal RNA, 938 nt
Filed under: uncultured bacterium
Lineage: Bacteria
Description: bacterial SSU rRNA
Rfam family: Bacterial small subunit ribosomal RNA
Source: RNAcentral
UGCUUACCAUGCAGUCGAACGGCAGCACGGACUUCGGUCUGGUGGCGAGUGGCGAACGGGUGAGUAAUAUAUCGGAACAUACCCUAGAGUGGGGGAUAACGUAGCGAAAGUUACGCUAAUACCGCAUACGAACUAAGGUUGAAAGUGGGGGAUCGCAAGACCUCAUGCUCAUGGAGUGGCCGAUAUCUGAUUAGCUAGUUGGUGAGGUAAAGGCUCACCAAGGCGACGAUCAGUAGCUGGUCUGAGAGGACGACCAGCCACACUGGAACUGAGACACGGUCCAGACUCCUACGGGAGGCAGCAGUGGGGAAUUUUGGACAAUGGGGGCAACCCUGAUCCAGCAAUGCCGCGUGAGUGAAGAAGGCCUUCGGGUCGUAAAGCUCUUUUGUCAGGGAAGAAACGGUGAUCUCUAAUAUAGAUUGCUAAUGACGGUACCUGAAGAAUAAGCACCGGCUAACUACGUGCCAACAGCCGCGGUAAUACGUAGGGUGCAAGCGUUAAUCGGAAUUACUGGGCGUAAAGCGUGCGCAGGCGGUUAUAUAAGUCAGAUGUGAAAUCCCCGGGCUCAACCUGGGAACUGCAUUUGAGACUGUAUGGCUAGAGUGUGUCAGAGGGGGGUAGAAUUCCACGUGUAGCAGUGAAAUGCGUAGAUAUGUGGAGGAAUACCGAUGGCGAAGGCAGCCCCCUGGGAUAACACUGACGCUCAUGCACGAAAGCGUGGGGAGCAAACAGGAUUAGAUACCCUGGUAGUCCACGCCCUAAGCGAUGUCUACUAGUUGUUGGGUCUUAAUUGACUUAGUAACGCAGCUAACGCGUGAAGUAGACCGCCUGGGGAGUACGGUCGCAAGAUUAAAACUCAAAGGAAUUGACGGGGACCCGCACAAGCGGUGGAUGAUGUGGAUUAAUUCGAUGCAACGCGAAAACCUUACCUACCCUUG